Molecule: ribosomal RNA, 858 nt
Filed under: uncultured bacterium
Lineage: Bacteria
Description: bacterial SSU rRNA
Rfam family: Bacterial small subunit ribosomal RNA
Source: RNAcentral
CAAGUCGAACGGUAGAGGGGGCAACCCCUCGAGAGUGGCGAACGGGUGAGUAAUAUAUCGGAACGUGCCCAGUCGUGGGGGAUAACGUAGCGAAAGUUACGCUAAUACCGCAUACGAUCUACGGAUGAAAGCGGGGGACCGUAAGGCCUCGCGCGAUUGGAGCGGCCGAUAUCAGAUUAGGUAGUUGGUGGGGUAAAGGCUCACCAAGCCAACGAUCUGUAGCUGGUCUGAGAGGACGACCAGCCACACUGGAACUGAGACACGGUCCAGACUCCUACGGGAGGCAGCAGUGGGGAAUUUUGGACAAUGGACGCAAGUCUGAUCCAGCCAUUCCGCGUGCAGGAUGAAGGCCCUCGGGUUGUAAACUGCUUUUGUACGGAACGAAAAGGUUUCCAUUAAUACUGGGAGCUCAUGACGGUACCGUAAGAAUAAGCACCGGCUAACUACGUGCCAGCAGCCGCGGUAAUACGUAGGGUGCAAGCGUUAAUCGGAAUUACUGGGCGUAAAGCGUGCGCAGGCGGUUAUGUAAGACAGAGGUGAAAUCCCCGGGCUCAACCUGGGAACUGCCUUUGUGACUGCAUAGCUAGAGUACGGUAGAGGGGGAUGGAAUUCCGCGUGUAGCAGUGAAAUGCGUAGAUAUGCGGAGGAACACCGAUGGCGAAGGCAAUCCCCUGGACCUGUACUGACGCUCAUGCACGAAAGCGUGGGGGAGCAAACAGGAUUAGAUACCCUGUAGUCCACGCCCUAAACGAUGUCAACUGGUUGUUGGGUCUUCACUGACUCAGUAACGAAGCUAACGCGUGAAGUUGACCGCCUGGGGAGUACGGCCGCAAGGUUGAAACUCAAAGGAAUUGACGG